AAUCGCAAGAGGAAAUACAACAAAAAUAAUAAGUAUAAUUCAGGACCACAACAGAAGCCACGCACUUCAUAUCAUGGUAAUGGAGGUAAUGGGCAUAAUCAUCAUGGAGGUAAUGGACAUAAUCAUCAUGGAGGGAAUGGCCACAACCAUAAUGGCCACCAUCAUCACAAUGGGCACAAGAGUAACAAUGGCAAUGGUAGAGGUAAUGGUAAUGGUAAUGGUAAUGGAGGGAAUAAUAACCAGAGCCACCAGAGUAUGCCUGUGCAGAGGGAUAUUAGCCAGGUUCAAUGCUAUAAGUGUAGGCAGAUGGGCCACUACUCCAAUGCUUGUCCAAGGAACAAGAACGGAAAUGGGGAUUCAGGAGUCAGCAAGCCAAACCCCUUCCAAAAGGGUCAUGUUAACCAUGUUGAUGUUGAG
RNAcentral lists this ribosomal RNA (417 nucleotides) under Triticum aestivum (bread wheat). RNAcentral's name for it is "partial small subunit ribosomal RNA". Lineage: Eukaryota; Viridiplantae; Streptophyta; Magnoliopsida; Poales; Poaceae. The record is from RNAcentral.